AUUGAACGCUGGCGGCAUGCUCUACACAUGCAAGUCGAACGGUAACAGGCCGCAAGGUGCUGACGAGUGGCGAACGGGUGAGUAAUGCAUCGGAACGUGCCCAGUCGUGGGGGAUAACUACUCGAAAGAGUAGCUAAUACCGCAUACGAUCUAUGGAUGAAAGCGGGGGACCGUAAGGCCUCGCGCGAUUGGAGCGGCCGAUGUCAGAUUAGGUAGUUGGUGGGGUAAAGGCUCACCAAGCCAACGAUCUGUAGCUGGUCUGAGAGGACGACCAGCCACACUGGGACUGAGACACGGCCCAGACUCCUACGGGAGGCAGCAGUGGGGAAUUUUGGACAAUGGGCGCAAGCCUGAUCCAGCAAUGCCGCGUGCAGGAAGAAGGCCUUCGGGUUGUAAACUGCUCUUGUACGGAACGAAACGGCUCUGGUUAAUACCCGGGGCUAAUGACGGUACCGUAAGAAUAAGCACCGGCUAACUACGUG
Molecule: ribosomal RNA, 482 nt
Filed under: uncultured bacterium
Lineage: Bacteria
Description: partial 16S ribosomal RNA
Rfam family: Bacterial small subunit ribosomal RNA
Source: RNAcentral